Molecule: ribosomal RNA, 497 nt
Filed under: uncultured bacterium
Lineage: Bacteria
Description: partial 16S ribosomal RNA
Rfam family: Bacterial small subunit ribosomal RNA
Source: RNAcentral
GAUGAACGCUGGCGGCGUGCCUAAUACAUGCAAGUCGAGCGAACAGACGAGGAGCUUGCUCCUCUGACGUUAGCGGCGGACGGGUGAGUAACACGUGGAUAACCUACCUAUAAGACUGGGAUAACUUCGGGAAACCGGAGCUAAUACCGGAUAAUAUAUUGAACCGCAUGGUUCAAUAGUGAAAGACGGUUUUGCUGUCACUUAUAGAUGGAUCCGCGCCGCAUUAGCUAGUUGGUAAGGUAACGGCUUACCAAGGCAACGAUGCGUAGCCGACCUGAGAGGGUGAGCGGCCACACUGGAACUGAGACACGGUCCAGACUCCUACGGGAGGCAGCAGUAGGGAAUCUUCCGCAAUGGGCGAAAGCGUGACGGAGCAACGCCGCGUGAGUGAUGAAGGUCUUCGGAUCGUAAAACUCUGUUAUUAGGGAAGAACAAAUGUGUAAGUAACUAUGCACGUCUUGACGGUACCCAAUCAGAAAGCCACGGCUAACUACGUG